GUGAAUCAUCGAAUCUUUGAACGCAAAUUGCACUCUCUUCGGAGAGCAUGCCUGUUUGAGGGUCAGCCUAUAAAAAAUCGACAUCGUUGCUGUUUCGCGGUGGCGUUCGUCGGGAAUUGGGUCAUCUUCAAUCUUUUGGUUUUAAGCGACUUAAGAUUUUCUUUUUGGUUCCAUGAACGUUUCUAAGAUUUAUUUCGUUACACGUUUAUGGUAUCGGUUUUUAUUAGACGUUACUAUUAUUUCGUACCG
Molecule: unclassified non-coding RNA, 249 nt
Filed under: Glomeraceae sp.
Lineage: Eukaryota; Fungi; Glomeromycota; Glomeromycetes; Glomerales; Glomeraceae
Description: partial contains 5.8S ribosomal RNA and internal transcribed spacer 2
Rfam family: 5.8S ribosomal RNA (bases 1-65)
Source: RNAcentral